UGGAUCCAGACUUUGAUUCUGGCUCAGGACGAACGCUGGCGGCGUGCUUAACACAUGCAAGUCGAACGGAGCACCCCUGAAAGAGUUUUCGGACAAUGGAUGGGAAUGCUUAGUGGCGGACUGGUGAGUAACGCGUGAGGAACCUGCCUUCCAGAGGGGGACAACAGUUGGAAACGACUGCUAAUACCGCAUAACACAUUUGAAUCGCAUGGUUUAAGUGUCAAAGAUUUAUCGCUGGAAGAUGGCCUCGCGUCUGAUUAGAUAGUAGGCGGGGUAACGGCCCACCUAGUCGACGAUCAGUAGCCGGACUGAGAGGUUGACCGGCCACAUUGGGACUGAGAUACGGCCCAGACUCCUACGGGAGGCAGCAGUGGGGAAUAUUGGGCAAUGGGCGCAAGCCUGACCCAGCAACGCCGCGUGAAGGAAGAAGGCUUUCGGGUUGUAAACUUCUUUUAAGAGGGAAGAGAAGAAGACGGUACCUCUUGAAUAAGCCACGGCUAACUACGUGCCAGCAGCCGCGGUAAUACGUAGGUGGCAAGCGUUGUCCGGAUUUACUGGGUGUAAAGGGCGUGCAGCCGGGCUGACAAGUCAGAUGUGAAAUGCACAGGCUUAACCUGUGAACUGCAUUUGAAACUGUCAGUCUUGAGUACCGGAGAGGUCAUCGGAAUUCCUUGUGUAGCGGUGAAAUGCGUAGAUAUAAGGAAGAACACCAGUGGCGAAGGCGGAUGACUGGACGGCAACUGACGGUGAGGCGCGAAAGCGUGGGGAGCAAACAGGAUUAGAUGCCCUGGUAGUCCACGCUGUAAACGAUGGAUACUAGGUGUGCGGGGACUGACCCCCUGCGUGCCGCAGUUAACACAAUAAGUAUCCCACCUGGGGAGUACGAUCGCAAGGUUGCAACUCAAAUGAAUUGACGGA
This 918-nucleotide ribosomal RNA is filed under the name uncultured Bacillota bacterium. RNAcentral's name for it is "bacterial SSU rRNA". It matches the Rfam family "Bacterial small subunit ribosomal RNA", at positions 1 to 917 of the family's 1533-position model. Lineage: Bacteria; Bacillati; Bacillota. The record is from RNAcentral.